UUGGAGGGCAAGUCUGGUGCCAGCAGCCGCGGUAAUUCCAGCUCCAAUAGCGUAUAUUAAAGUUGUUGCAGUUAAAAAGCUCGUAGUUGAAUUUCGGGGUCAGUAGGUUGGUCAUGCCACUGGUAUGUACUGGUCUCACUGAUUCCUCCUUCCUGAUGAGCCGUAAUGCCAUUAAUUUGGUGUUGCGAGGAAUCUGGACUGUUACUUUGAAAAAAUUAGAGUGUUUAAAGCAAGCUAACGCUUGAAUACAUUAGCAUGGAAUAAUGAAAUAGGACGUUCGAUCCUAUUUUGUUGGUUUCUAGGAUUGACGUAAUGAUUAAUAGGGAUAGUUGGGGGCAUUAGUAUUCAAUUGUCAGAGGUGAAAUUCUUGGAUUUAUUGAAGACUAACUACUGCGAAAGCAUUUGCCAAGGAUGUUUUCAUUAAUCAAGAACGAAAGUUAGGGGAUCGAAGACGAUCAGAUACCGUCGUAGUCUUAACCAUAAACUAUGCCGACUAGGGGUCGGAUGAUGUUAAUUUUUUAAUGACUCAUUCGGCGCCUUACGGGAAACCAAAGUGUUUGGGUUC
RNAcentral lists this ribosomal RNA (565 nucleotides) under uncultured Glomeromycotina. Its description in RNAcentral is "SSU rRNA". It matches the Rfam family "Eukaryotic small subunit ribosomal RNA", at positions 548 to 1114 of the family's 1831-position model. The record is from RNAcentral. Lineage: Eukaryota; Fungi; Glomeromycota.